Long non-coding RNA from Vespula vulgaris, 1832 nucleotides. RefSeq lists it as uncharacterized. The transcript has 6 exons. The record is from RefSeq and is a predicted model, not a curated record. NCBI's taxonomy places the organism in Eukaryota, Metazoa, Arthropoda, Insecta, Hymenoptera, Vespidae.
ACUACAUAACGUCCGUAAAAGUGCCGUAACAUCACUCGAACAUCCAUAACGUCUGUCUUACGUCCGUAAGAGUGCCGUAACCUCACUCGACCAUCCGAAACGUCUGUCGAACAUCCGUAACGUCCGUAACAUCGCCGUAACGUCUGUCACAGCUCCGUGACAUCACAGAUGAUCGAAAUAACGCCGUAACGUCUGUCACACGUCCGUGACGACCGUAACAACGCCGUAAUGUCCGUCUGAAGUCCCUGACGUCCAUAAGAACACCGUAACGUCUGUCACAGGUCCGUGACGUCACAGAUGAUGGAAACAACGCCGUAACGUCCGUAACAACGCCGUAACGUCUGUCACAGGUCCGUGACGUCACAGAUGAUCGAAACAACGCUGUAACGUCUCUCAGAGAUCUGUGACGUCACAGAUGAUAGAAAAACAACGCCGUAACUCCUGUCACAGGUCCGUGACGUCACAGAUGAUAGAAACAACGCCGUAAUUUCUGUCACAGGUCCAUGACGUCACAGAUGAUAGUAACAACGCCGUAAUUUCUGUCACAGGUCCGUGACGUCACAGAUGAUAGAAAAACAACGCCGUAACGUCUCUAAUAGAUCGGUGACGUCACAGAUGAUAGAAACAACGCCGUAAUUUCUGUCACAGGUCCGUGACGUCACAGAUGAUAGAAACAACGCCGUAACUUCUGUCACAGGUCCGUGAUGUCACAGAUGAUAGAAACAAGGCCGUAACGUCUCUCAGAGAUCUGUGACGUCACAGAUGAUAGAAAAACAACGCCGUAACUCCUGUCACAGGUCCGUGACGUCACAGAUGAUCGAAACAAGGCCGUAACUUCUGUCACAGGUCCGUGACGUCACAGAUGAUAGAAACAACGCCGUAAUUUCUGUCACAGGUCCGUGACGUCACAGAUGAUAGAAACAACGCCGUAACUUCUGUCACAGGUCCGUGACGUCACAGAUGAUAGAAAAACAACGCCGUAACGUCUCUAAUAGAUCGGUGACGUCACAGAUGAUAGAAACAACGCCGUAAUUUCUGUCACAGGUCCGUGACGUCACAGAUGAUAGAAAAACAACGCCGUAACGUCUCUAAUAGAUCUGUGACGUCACAGAUGAUAUAAACAACGCCGUAACUUCUGUCACAGGUCCGUGACGUCACAGAUGAUAGAAAAACAACGCCGUAACGUCUCUAAUAGAUCGGUGACGUCACAGAUGAUAGAAACAACGCCGUAAUUUCUGUCACAGGUCCGUGACGUCACAGAUGAUAGAAAAACAACGCCGUAACGUCUCUAAUAGAUCGGUGACGUCACAGAUGAUAGAAACAACGCCGUAAUUUCUGUCACAGGUCCGUGACGUCACAGAUGAUAGAAACAACGCCGUAACUUCUGUCACAGGUCCGUGACGUCACAGAUGAUAGAAAAACAACGCCGUAACGUCUCUAAUAGAUCGGUGACGUCACAGAUGAUAGAAACAACGCCGUAAUUUCUGUCACAGGUCCGUGACGUCACAGAUGAUAGAAAAACAACGCCGUAACGUCUCUAAUAGAUCUGUGACGUCACAGAUGAUAUAAACAACGCCGUAACUUCUGUCACAGGUCCGUGACGUCACAGAUGAUAGAAACAACGCCGUAAUUUCUGUCACAGGUCCGUGACGUCACAGAUGAUAGAAACAAAGCCGCAAUUUCUGUCACAGGUCCGUGACGUCACAGAUGGUCGAAACAACGCCGUAAUUUCUGUCACAGGUCCGUGACGUCACAGAUGACAGAAAAACAACGCCGUAACGUCUCUAAUAGAUCUGUGACGUCACAGAUGAUAGAAACAACGUCGUAAUUUC